GUACUGAUGAAGAGUCCCAAACUAGAACGAAAUAGCUGUCCAGUAC
RNAcentral lists this non-coding RNA (46 nucleotides) under Trichobilharzia regenti. The record is from RNAcentral. Lineage: Eukaryota; Metazoa; Platyhelminthes; Trematoda; Strigeidida; Schistosomatidae.